GACGAACGCUGGCGGCGUGCUUAACACAUGCAAGUCGAACGGAAAGGCCCUGCUUUUGUGGGGUGCUCGAGUGGCGAACGGGUGAGUAACACGUGAGUAACCUGCCCUUGACUUUGGGAUAACUUCAGGAAACUGGGGCUAAUACCGGAUAGGAGCUCCUGCUGCAUGGUGGGGGUUGGAAAGUUUCGGCGGUUGGGGAUGGACUCGCGGCUUAUCAGCUUGUUGGUGGGGUAGUGGCUUACCAAGCCUUUGACGGGUAGCCGGCCUGAGAGGGUGACCGGCCACAUUGGGACUGAGAUACGGACCAGACUCCUACGGGAGGCAGCAGUGGAGAAUAUUGCACAAUGGGCGGAAGCCUGAUGCAGCAACGCCGCGUGCGGGAUGACGGCCUUCGGGUUGUAAACCGCUUUCGCCUGUGACGAAGCGUGAGUGACGGUAAUGGGUAAAGAAGCACCGGCUAACUACGUG
RNAcentral lists this ribosomal RNA (468 nucleotides) under uncultured bacterium. Its description in RNAcentral is "partial 16S ribosomal RNA". It matches the Rfam family "Bacterial small subunit ribosomal RNA", at positions 28 to 507 of the family's 1533-position model. The record is from RNAcentral.